Molecule: non-coding RNA, 661 nt
Organism: Vicugna pacos (alpaca)
Lineage: Eukaryota; Metazoa; Chordata; Mammalia; Artiodactyla; Camelidae
Source: RefSeq, a predicted model, not a curated record
GAAAUAUGUAUAGUUUACUGUACAGGAAUUGUACCACAAUGGUGUUAAGAAAAAUAAAUACAAAAAUGUAGAGUACUAAGUGGAAGAAAGAAAAAUAAGUAUAGAGCGUAUGAUGAGGCUCAGCUGUGCAUCAGUUAACCAGGACAGCGCCUCAGAAUAUUCCAUAUGCCUGAUUACAGUAAUGGAUCCAGGGAGGGGCCAGUGAGGUCUCUUAUUUGAUAGAGCUCAUGGUCUCGUGUGUGCUGAAGGCCACAAAAGCCUGAAAUAAGCAACAGCUCCCGUGGCUGCACUGUACAGAAGACCUCACUGAAAACAAGGCCCUUGUGUCCUGCACAAGAAGAGGCAGGCAGAGAGUGACAGCAAGAGAGUGUGACGUGUAAACACGUUCCCAAGAGCUCCCUGAUUCCUCACAGCAUUGCCCAGAUGUCCGUGAACUCUGUCCUUUGGAAUUGCUGACCAGGUGACUUUAACCAACGUGCUGUUUAUAACAUCCACCCCAUGGAUCACGGGAGCUGUAUCAGGAUCUGUUGAGCAUCUAGUACAUCCUCUUUGCAUGCAGUAGUUGCUCAAAAAUGUUCAUCGACAGAUGCGUAAUAGACUGGAGAGAAACUACUCUUGACGCGCUGUCAGGCGCACCACUUACAGUCUUCUCCGGAAUAGA